This 424-nucleotide ribosomal RNA is filed under the name uncultured prokaryote. RNAcentral describes it as "bacterial SSU rRNA". It matches the Rfam family "Bacterial small subunit ribosomal RNA", at positions 355 to 796 of the family's 1533-position model. The record is from RNAcentral.
UGGGGAAUCUUGCACAAUGGGCGAAAGCCUGAUGCAGCCAUGCCGCGUGGAUGAUGAAGGCCCUAGGGUUGUAAAAUCCUUUCGCCAGGGAUGAUAAUGACAGUACCUGGUAAAGAAGCGCCGGCUAACUCCGUGCCAGCAGCCGCGGUAAGACGGAGGGCGCUAGCGUUGUUCGGAAUCACUGGGCGUAAAGGGCGCGUAGGCGGCUGUUUAAGUCGAGGGUGAAAGCCCGGGGCUCAACCCCGGAACGGCCUUCGAGACUGGGCAGCUCGAGACCGGAAGAGGAGGGUGGAAUACCCAGUGUAGAGGUGAAAUUCGUAGAUAUUGGGUGGAACACCAGUGGCGAAAGCGGCUCUCUGGUCCGGAUCUGACGCUGAGGCGCGAAAGCGUGGGGAGCAAACAGGAUUAGAUACCCCGGUAGUCC